AUUGAACGCUGGCGGAAUGCUUUACACAUGCAAGUCGAGCGGCAGCGCGGGGGCAACCCUGGCGGCGAGCGGCGAACGGGUGAGUAACAUAUCGGAACGUACCCCGUCGUGGGGGAUAACACAGCGAAAGCUGUGCUAAUACCGCAUACGACCUGAGGGUGAAAGCGGGGGACCGUAAGGCCUCGCGCGAUGGGAGCGGCCGAUAUCGGAUUAGCUUGUUGGUGAGGUAAAGGCUCACCAAGGCGACGAUCCGUAGCUGGUCUGAGAGGACGACCAGCCACACUGGAACUGAGACACGGUCCAGACUCCUACGGGAGGCAGCAGUGGGGAAUUUUGGACAAUGGGGGGCAACCCUGAUCCAGCCAUGCCGCGUGAGUGAAGAAGGCCUCGGUUGUAAGCUCUUCGCCGGAGAAGUACGCACAGGCUAAUACCCUGUGUGGAUGACGGUACCGGAA
This 455-nucleotide ribosomal RNA is filed under the name uncultured bacterium. RNAcentral describes it as "bacterial SSU rRNA". It matches the Rfam family "Bacterial small subunit ribosomal RNA", at positions 29 to 485 of the family's 1533-position model. The record is from RNAcentral.